RNAcentral lists this ribosomal RNA (522 nucleotides) under Anchiale austrotessulata. RNAcentral's name for it is "partial large subunit ribosomal RNA". Lineage: Eukaryota; Metazoa; Arthropoda; Insecta; Phasmatodea; Phasmatidae. The record is from RNAcentral.
UUCAAGAGUACGUGAAACCGUUCAGGGGUAAACGGGAGAAAUCCUGAAUUCGAAGGGGAUUGGAUUCAGCCCGCGCCAGUAGUUCAGGCCACCUGGCCCCGCCAGAUGUCGCCGGUCGCCCACGGUGAUUAACUUCGCCUGUGGUGUCGUUCCCGGCUAGCACUCGGCGGGGUGGUGUAUCCUAACAGUGGAUGGGUGCACUUCCUCCCUUGUAGAAACGUCGCGACCCGUUGGGUGCCGGUCUCAAGGCCCGGGAUGGCAGACCAUGUUUCCCGCGGGGUGAUCCGCGGGCGCGUGGACUCCUGGUGACCCGGCCGGCUGCCCGACGGUAUGACCAGAGGAGUCGAUCCGCUGAUUUGGGAAACACUGUGGUGGUGUAGCGUCCGGCCCGGCUCCGAUACGCGCGGAUCAGUCGAAGCGUACGUGCAAGAGCACGUGCCGGCGCCCGUCGCGUAUUCGGAUCAAGUCGGUGUCCUCGGACUGGAUCAGUUCUCCCGUCGGCGACGCCCACCUUCGGAUGGU